AGAAUAUCCUAGAUGGGGUCAAUGGAUGAUCAAUAAGACCGAUGUCCUAGAUAGGUAAUUUAACCUCCAUGGCAUUUUGGAUGGGUGCCUACCUAAGGUCAGCCCAGGUGGUCGAGCCUACUUUAUAAUGUAUGACUUUGCAUUAUUACAUAUUUUU
Capsicum annuum is the source of this 157-nucleotide small nuclear RNA. RefSeq annotates it as U1 spliceosomal RNA. The transcript has a single exon. The record is from RefSeq and is a predicted model, not a curated record. NCBI's taxonomy places the organism in Eukaryota, Viridiplantae, Streptophyta, Magnoliopsida, Solanales, Solanaceae.